CCCUCCCUCUCUCUGUUAUCUCUUUCUCUCCCGAUCUGAGCGGCGGCGGCGGCUCCCAUCCUCUUCCUCCACUCCUCUCCCUCAGAUUGAGCUCCGCCCCGAAGUGGAGGAAAGGUACACGGCCAUCGAUCUGUGCGCGUCUAGCCAUCGAGGGCUCCCCCUCUCGCGCUCCUUCUCUGCAAGGAGCGCUAGCAACCCACACGGCAUAGAUCCACUACCCCUGCGUCCGCCCCACACUGGCCGCCGGUGGCUGCCGCAUAGAUCCGUUCCUCCCCCACCUGCUGCACGCGAUGGUGCAUGCUGCCAUGCUGUUUUGGUGCAGCCAGACCGCUGCCCCUACCCUCGCACUCUGGGCAGAGGCUUGUUCUUCUUCGUGGUGACUACACGUUCCUCCCCGGUGGUGGCGCUCUGCCCGCUGUCUUGCGUUUCUCCCAGCGGUUGCGCCCUUCGACCCCUACCUCGAAUCAAUCAAUCCGGCAAUAGAGUUGAAACUGCAAAGAAGCGUGAUGAGGAAAAAGCGGGUUUCGACAUUGGACAUUUGAACAAAAUCAUAUACUGGAGAUUGCUUGUAUUAUAAUAGAAGGUAGUGGAUCAAGAUUUCUUAUAUCUGGGUGAGGGCAUCAAUCAAUGUUGAGACAAGGAAUCUCAUCACUACAAUAUAUAGAUACCAUAGUGGACCAGGCGCGUUCUUGAGCAUAGCUAGACGGAAAAACAUCUUUCCUGAGCUGGCAUGUGAAGCUAACUUGACCCAUCCUGUUUAUUUUGUGAAAUUUAAAUUCAAAAUAAGGGAUGUAUUCACCAGCUAGUCAAUCUCCUUUCAGGAAGAAUAGUAUAAAAAACUCUAUGCUUAGCACACAUCUGCUAUGGAAAGUACAUCAUCAUUAAGCCUAGUUACUUAA
Long non-coding RNA from Triticum aestivum (bread wheat), 899 nucleotides. RefSeq lists it as uncharacterized. Lineage: Eukaryota; Viridiplantae; Streptophyta; Magnoliopsida; Poales; Poaceae. The record is from RefSeq and is a predicted model, not a curated record. The transcript has 4 exons.